Molecule: ribosomal RNA, 1380 nt
Filed under: Triticum aestivum (bread wheat)
Lineage: Eukaryota; Viridiplantae; Streptophyta; Magnoliopsida; Poales; Poaceae
Description: partial small subunit ribosomal RNA
Source: RNAcentral
AUGGGGGUGGCGCAGUCGUCCCCGGACGAGCCCGUCCCCGACCUGGCCUCCAUGCUCGACGCCUGCCCCGGCCCGACGGAGAGGGCGCUGCUCGCGGCGGUCCUGGAUGGCGACGUUCCCCGCCUCAAGGAUUUGGUUCGUGCAAUGGAUGUUGAGGAUAGAGCAAACCUUGCUGACAUGGAUAUACUAGAGGGCGUUGGACUGCUAGGAUUGGCCUCAUACACGCGUAAAAUGAAGGUCUGCGAAUACUUGGUAGAGGAGCUUGGUCUUGACGUCAAUGCUGGUGGCUCCCGUGGUGGUCCACCACCUUUGGGUUGUGCAGCGUUGUGUGGAGAAUUUGUUGCUGCCAGAUAUCUUCUCAACCAUGGAGCCGAUCCAAAUAAGAUAGAUGGGACAGGCUUUGCUCCUCUUCAUUGUGCUGCCAAAAAUGGGCAUGAAUGUGUACUGCGUCUAUUAUUAUCCAGAGGAGCCAGUGUGGAUAUAGAUGGCGCUCAUGGGACGCCCCUGCACACUGCUUCUUACUAUGGGAAUGCUGGUGCUUUGAAGAUUUUGUUGGACCACCAUGCAGAUCCAAACAGGGUGUCAGAAAUUUCAUGUGCCCCUCUACUUAUGGCUCUUAGUUCUACCAAGCAUGGAGUGAGUGAAUCUGACUCACUGAACUGUGUCAAGCUACUUGUCAAGGCUGGUGCUGACAUGAAUUCUGCUAAUCCGUGCACUCCCUUGGUGGUGGCAGCUACGUAUGGCUUGGCUGAUUGUAUUAAGUACUUGCUAGAGGCUGGUGCAAAUCCUAACAUUCCAGAUGAGCAGUGCGGUACGACACCAAUAGAAAUCGUUGCAGACUCUGGAAGAAGAGAGCUCGUGGAGAUUCUAUUUCCGUACACCAAACCCAUUCAAUGUGUGCCAAUCUGGAGUAUUGAUGGAAUCAUUACCCACGUAAAAGCAAAGCACUUGAAGGACAAGGACAAGGUAGGUCAAGAUAAGAAGGCUGAGCUGAAAUCACUUGGUGCAAAAGCAGUAGAGGAGAAGGACUACGCCGGUGCAUCAAAAUUCUACAGUGAGGCAAUCAAAGUGGAUCCUGAAGAUGCAACGCUCUAUUCAAACAGGAGCUUUUGCCAUCUAAGGAUUGGUGAAGCACGUGAUGCUCUGGUGGAUGCCAAUGCUUGCAUAAGGCUGCAGCCUGAUUGGCCAAAAGGUUACUGGCGGAAAGGAGCUGCCUUAACGGCACUCAAGGAUCACAAGGAAGCAUGUGAUACGUAUAUGGCUGCGAUGAAGCUGGAUCCUACAAGUCAGGAGAUUCAUGAAGCAUUUUGGGAUGCUGUUGCGGCAAUGAGGGCGGAACUUGACGCUGGAGAAAGCGGCAGCUCAUCUGAAUCUGAUUAG